GAUGAACGCUGGCGGCGUGCCUAAUACAUGCAAGUCGAGCGGACGGACGAGAAGCUUGCUUCUCUGAUGUUAGCGGCGGACGGGUGUGUCACACGUGGAUACCCUCCCUAUCAGACUGGGAUCACUUCGGGAAACCGGAGCUAAUACCGGAUAAUCUUUUGAUCCGCAUGAUUCAAAAGUGAAAGACGGUCUUGCUGUCACUUCUCGAUGGAUACGCGCUGCAUUAGCUAGUUGGUAAGGUAACGGCUUACCAAGGCAACGAGGCAUAUCCGAACUGUGAGAGGGAUCGGCCACAUGAGAACGUGAACGCCGUCCAGACGCCUACGGUACGCAGCAGUAGGGAAUCUUCCGCAGAGGGCGAGAGCCUGACGGAGCAACGCCGCGUGAGUGAUGAAGAUCUUCGGAUCGUAAAACUCUGUUAUUAGGUGAAAACAGAUGUGUAAUUAACUGUGCACAUCGUGACGGUACCGAAUCAGAAAGCCACGGCUAACUACGUG
RNAcentral lists this ribosomal RNA (497 nucleotides) under uncultured bacterium. RNAcentral's name for it is "partial 16S ribosomal RNA". It matches the Rfam family "Bacterial small subunit ribosomal RNA", at positions 28 to 507 of the family's 1533-position model. The record is from RNAcentral.